Molecule: transfer RNA, 65 nt
Filed under: Proasellus parvulus
Lineage: Eukaryota; Metazoa; Arthropoda; Malacostraca; Isopoda; Asellidae
Description: transfert RNA-L2(TTA)
Source: RNAcentral
UCUACUGUAGUCAAAUAUAAAUAUGACGUAGGAUUUAAGCUCCUAAGGUGCUUAAGCCUUUAGAA